RNAcentral lists this ribosomal RNA (253 nucleotides) under uncultured bacterium. RNAcentral's name for it is "partial 16S ribosomal RNA". It matches the Rfam family "Bacterial small subunit ribosomal RNA", at positions 524 to 776 of the family's 1533-position model. The record is from RNAcentral.
UACGAAGGGGGCUAGCGUUGUUCGGAAUUACUGGGCGUAAAGGGCGCGUAGGCGGCGUGUCAAGUCAGGCGUGAAAGCCCCGGGCUCAACCUGGGAACCGCGCUUGAGACUGGCAUGCUCGAGUUCGGGAGAGGAUGGUGGAAUUCCCAGUGUAGAGGUGAAAUUCGUAGAUAUUGGGAAGAACACCGAUGGCGAAGGCAGCCAUCUGGACCGACACUGACGCUGAGGUGCGAAAGCGUGGGGAGCAAACAGG